UACGGGGGGUGCGAGCGUUGUCCGGAAUCACUGGGCGUAAAGGGCGCGUAGGUGGUCUGAUAAGGGUGUGGUGAAAGCCCGGGGCUCAACCCCGGGUCGGCCGUGCCGACUGUUAGACUAGAGUGCUGUAGGGGCAGGCGGAAUUCCGGGUGUAGCGGUGGAAUGCGUAGAGAUCCGGAGGAACACCGAUGGCGAAGGCAGGUCUCUGGGCCACUACUGACGCUGAGAAGCGAAAGCAUGGGGAGCGAACAGG
Molecule: ribosomal RNA, 253 nt
Filed under: uncultured bacterium
Lineage: Bacteria
Description: partial 16S ribosomal RNA
Rfam family: Bacterial small subunit ribosomal RNA
Source: RNAcentral